This 279-nucleotide unclassified non-coding RNA is filed under the name plant metagenome. RNAcentral describes it as "partial contains small subunit ribosomal RNA, internal transcribed spacer 1, and 5.8S ribosomal RNA". The record is from RNAcentral.
UUUCCGUAGGUGAACCUGCGGAAGGAUCAUUAUUGAAUAACCGAGUCGCGAGGGCUGCCUCUGACCCGAUUGGCUGCUCACGCAUGAUUGCCUCCACACACAUCCACCCACCCCCCACGUGCACCACCGUUACUGUCCCCCUUUGGCUUGCUCGGCGGGGGGCCUACGUUUUCACUCUUUCUCUGUACGCACCGUAGUCUGUGUAUUUUGUUUUUGUAAUCACGAAACUUAUACCACUUUCAACCAUGGAUCUGUUGGCUCUCGCAACCACGAAGAAUC